UAUCUGCCCUUUGGCCUGGAAUAACACGAGGAAACUUGUGCUAAUACCGGAUAAGUCUUCACGGAGAAAGCUUUAUGCACCAUUGGAUGAGCCUGCACUUGAUUAGUUUGUUGGUGGGGUAAUGGCCUACCAAGACUGUGAUCAAUAGCUGAUUUGAGAGGAUGAUCAGCCACAUUGGGACUGAGACACGGCCCAAACUCCUACGGGAGGCAGCAGUGGGGAAUCUUGCACAAUGGAGGAAACUCUGAUGCAGCGAUGCCGCGUGAGUGAAGAAGGCCCUUGGGUUGUAAAGCUCUUUCGUCGGGGAAGAAAAUGACUGUACCCGAAUAAGAAGGUCCGGCUAACUUCGUGCCAGCAGCCGCGGUAAUACGAAGGGACCUAGCGU
RNAcentral lists this ribosomal RNA (385 nucleotides) under uncultured bacterium. Its description in RNAcentral is "bacterial SSU rRNA". It matches the Rfam family "Bacterial small subunit ribosomal RNA", at positions 123 to 541 of the family's 1533-position model. The record is from RNAcentral.